GGGGUUGUGGCUCAGCAGUAGAGCACUCACUUAGCAAGUGUGAGAUCCUGGGUUCGAUCCCCAGCACCA
RNAcentral lists this transfer RNA (69 nucleotides) under Ictidomys tridecemlineatus (thirteen-lined ground squirrel). Its description in RNAcentral is "Spermophilus tridecemlineatus (thirteen-lined ground squirrel) tRNA". It matches the Rfam family "tRNA". Rfam says of the family: Transfer RNA (tRNA) molecules are approximately 80 nucleotides in length. Their secondary structure includes four short double-helical elements and three loops (D, anti-codon, and T loops). The record is from Rfam by way of RNAcentral. Lineage: Eukaryota; Metazoa; Chordata; Mammalia; Rodentia; Sciuridae.